RNAcentral lists this long non-coding RNA (753 nucleotides) under Callithrix jacchus (white-tufted-ear marmoset). Its description in RNAcentral is "lncRNA (ENSCJAG00000083634.1)". The record is from RNAcentral. Lineage: Eukaryota; Metazoa; Chordata; Mammalia; Primates; Cebidae.
GUUGAACUCAUUUAUGCCCUGUGCUUCAGCUGCUUGUUCCAAUAACUUAUUCCAUAUGUUUAUUUCCUUUAGUGUGAAAAGAUUUGGCUCAAGCUUUCUUUUUUAUUUAUAGUUUCCUGAGUUUUCAGUCCUGUCUCUGCUCGCCUGCUCCCUUUCCCGUACGCACACACCCGGGAGUGUGAAGGAGCAAGUGCCGACAGCUACAACCGCGAUUCACAGGUUCUUGAAAGGGUUGCUGUUGUUUCCGGACAGUCAUCCCGGGCUGCUGUCCCCAGGCCAUCGAGGCCGACUGCUUAGCCUGCAGCCUGGGCCUGCACUCCUGAGACACUCCGCUGCUAUCCGACUGGGUCCAUGCCCUCUCGCUCCUCAGAUUUGUGGGAACUGGGCAGGGCAGCUGGACAGAGGAGCAAGAAGCAGAGAUGAGAUGUGACAGCAGGAAGGUAGGAAAGAAUCAGCUCUUUUCUGAAUAUUCCGUUUCUUCUCCUUUAGCUCCCUCCUUGGAGCUGACAAACGUGUCCAUAUCCCCUUAAACCUAAAAUCAUCUACAUCCCUGUACUGUCCUAUCUCAAGAUGCUAGUCUGUCUCCUUUCUAUGUUGGGAAAUUUCUUGAGCAAGGAAGCCACCUUCUCUUUUCCUCUUUGGGUGAUUUAAUGUACUUAAUUAACAUGGCUUUGACCAACAGUGACAUCUCCAGUCAUGACUUCUCCCUGUCAUCUGCUCCUGAGGUUCCAAGGGCGUUUCCAAUGUGAAAUG